GACGAACGCUGGCGGCGUGCCUAAUGCAUGCAAGUCGCACGCGGCACCUUCGGGUGCUGAGUGGCGAACGGCUGAGGAACACGUGGGGACCUGUCCGGGAGUGGGGGACAACACCGCGAAAGCGGUGCUAAUCCCGCAUACGCUCUGAGGAGGAAAGCCGAAAGGCGCUCCCGGGUGGCCCUGCGGCCCAUCAGGUUGUUGGUGGGGUAACGGCCUACCAAGCCAAUGACGGGUCGCUGGUCUGUGAGGACGACCAGCCAGACUGGGACUGGGACACGGCCCGGACUCCUACGGGAGGCGGCAGAAAGGAAUUUUGGGAAAUGGGCGCAAGCCUGACCGGGCAACGCCGGGGGCAGGAAGAGGGCCUUGGGGUUGUAAACUGCUUUUGCUAGGGAUGAUAAAGGAAGGACCCUGGCGAAUCAGCCCGGGCAAACUCUUG
Molecule: ribosomal RNA, 439 nt
Filed under: uncultured bacterium
Lineage: Bacteria
Description: partial 16S ribosomal RNA
Rfam family: Bacterial small subunit ribosomal RNA
Source: RNAcentral